Lepisosteus oculatus (spotted gar) is the source of this 1612-nucleotide long non-coding RNA. RefSeq lists it as uncharacterized. Lineage: Eukaryota; Metazoa; Chordata; Actinopteri; Semionotiformes; Lepisosteidae. The record is from RefSeq and is a predicted model, not a curated record.
CUUCUGUUUCCUGAGCUUAACUUGCUCUUUCCUCCUUAGUACCUUUUCUGGACUCCCUCACUGUUGACUUUUUGGUUUUGGAUUUCUCUCUCUUGUCUUGCCCCUAUUGGAUUUGUUUGCCUCUCCUCUUGCCUACUACCUGUACAUGACUCCGCCUGGAAUAACCAACUACUCUACCUUGUUGCCUGCCUUGGAUCCCUCAGCUACCGGAUCUCGCCUGGAGACCCGCACAGGAUACAGCAAGAAGGUGAAGGGUGGUCAUAUUGUCGAGUCCAGCUGUGCUAGGAGAAGAUGGGGUGGGAGCCAAGCAAGGGGCCCCUGGGAUCUGCAGGAAUGACAGGGGGAUGAAAGCAGUAAAAAUGAAACCCAUCAGGAUUUGAGAGUCAAUGUAGUUUUGCGCUGACUGCUAUCCUUGAGAAGGGCUUCCUUGAGGGCUAUGUGGGCGACUAGAUAUGGUCACUUUUUGGCAAGACUGUUUUUUUCCCAUCAGCCCUCACCCACCCCUAAGACAGAAGGAACCAGACUGACCUCCUUUGAUUUUGAAGUGAUUCAGAAAGAUGCUGGAAUUAUGCUGUGGGCUAAUCCAGAAGCAAGCAAAUGUUUUUGAUUUUUUUUUUUUAUCCAGCUCCUUUUUUUUCAUAAAACCAGAACUGUGUGGAAAUUUAACGAUGAAAGAAACUCAGAAACCGAUUAUGAGGGAAAAAUGUCCACCUGUGUUAACUGUAAGCAACAUGUUUAGAAAUUACAGGAUCUGCAGGGAUCAAAAGGGAAUUGUGCCUUUCAGAGUCCAUGGACUGCAUUCCUCUGGAGCUGUGAUUGUGUUCUUUGUCCUUUGCUCUUCUUUCUUGUAUGAUUUACAGAAAGUAGAAUUGUCCUUUAGGCAAUCAGUAGACACCAGAACGGACUAAUCACAGCAAAAUCUUUGUACAGUAAAUUGUCACUCAUGAAAUUCCAAAUGUUUCUAUUUGUAUAUCUCCAUAUUUUUUUCUUUUUCUUUUUUGAGUCCUCUUCAGAAUUCCAAAUCUAUUUGGAGACUUUUUGAGCAUUUCUGGUGUCUGCUUCAUAGAACAGGACUAAGACCUCUUUUGUAUUUUAAUCAGCUGUCAGUUUAGAAGGAAUGGUCCUUUAUUGUUGUUGGUUCUGGCUUUCCACAUGUCACACUCUGACUGCAUUGCUACAACCAUGGACUGAAAAUUACAAGUCCUCUGCACGCACAACACAAUAUUGAUUACACGUUUUUUCCAGUUGUUGGUUUUCUACCAUUUAGAACUUCUUCGUUUUUUCAUUCCCAAGAAGGAAAAACUCACUUUUCUUGACGCAUUUUAGAAAUACAGCUUUCCAGACACAGAUUUUAGAUGGAAUUGCAGUGUUACAGGGAAGUCUCCAAGUUCUAGCAUGCAUUCUUUCAGUACCAGGAAGAAGCUGGACAUUUCUUUUCAAUAAAGACAACGAAAAUCUGCCAGACUGCCCAUCUGUCUGUCAAUAUACUAGACUUUCCUACACCUGAUAAUUAUCAUAACUUCAUUUAAAAAUGGAGCUAUAGUUACAUCUUUGCUGCAGGUUGUAUUUGGUGAUUAAGUAAAUCGGAGGCCAAUGGAAUUUCAAGAAGAAA